RNAcentral lists this ribosomal RNA (164 nucleotides) under Cookeina cremeirosea. Its description in RNAcentral is "5.8S ribosomal RNA". It matches the Rfam family "5.8S ribosomal RNA". Rfam says of the family: 5.8S ribosomal RNA (5.8S rRNA) is a component of the large subunit of the eukaryotic ribosome. It is transcribed by RNA polymerase I as part of the 45S precursor that also contains 18S and 28S rRNA. Functionally, it is thought that 5.8S rRNA may be involved in ribosome translocation. The record is from RNAcentral. Lineage: Eukaryota; Fungi; Ascomycota; Pezizomycetes; Pezizales; Sarcoscyphaceae.
AGUUAAAACUUUCAACAACGGAUCUCUUGGUUCCCGCAUCGAUGAAGAACGCAGCGAAAUGCGAUAAGUAGUGUGAAUUGCAGAAUUCAGUGAAUCAUCGAAUCUUUGAACGCACAUUGCGCCCUCUGGUAUUCCGGAGGGCAUGCCUGUCCGAGCGUCGAGAA